RNAcentral lists this ribosomal RNA (245 nucleotides) under uncultured Eubacteriales bacterium. RNAcentral's name for it is "uncultured Clostridiales bacterium partial 16S ribosomal RNA". It matches the Rfam family "Bacterial small subunit ribosomal RNA", at positions 524 to 768 of the family's 1533-position model. Lineage: Bacteria; Bacillati; Bacillota; Clostridia; Eubacteriales. The record is from RNAcentral.
UACGUAGGUGGCAAGCGUUGUCCGGAAUUACUGGGCGUAAAGGGCGAGUAGGCGGUUAAUUAAGUCAGGUGUGAAAACUGUGGGCUCAACCCAGAGAGUGCACCUGAUACUGAGUAACUUGAGUGCAGGAGAGGGCAGUGGAAUUCCUAGUGUAGCGGUGAAAUGCGUAGAUAUUAGGAGGAACACCAGUGGCGAAGGCGGCUGCCUGGACUGUAACUGACGCUGAGGCGCGAAAGCGUGGGGAG